Molecule: long non-coding RNA, 1179 nt
Organism: Heterocephalus glaber (naked mole-rat)
Lineage: Eukaryota; Metazoa; Chordata; Mammalia; Rodentia; Bathyergidae
Source: Ensembl
CAGGAUUCUACAAGUAAAGUCUGUGUUAAGGAUUCUUGAGUAGCCUUUGGAACAGAAUAGGCAUAGUCCUUGUUCUCAAGUGUUUGAGGAGAGAAGAGCAUGGUGAUUUUGAAGUUAGGUUUCUCCCAAUUUAGGGCCACAGAAAUGUUGCCCUUUGCAAUAACAGCACCUGUGCCUGAAAUGAUCUCAACUGCAUGGAUCCAAUUAUUUGAAAAUUGUGAUAACUCACAGGCACAUCUCAGCACUCUUCCCUUUCUUUGGCAAAAGGUUAGAAAGCUGACCAGGGGAAGAGGAGCCCAGACUCUGGGCUUCCUUGAGGUGCAUUCAGUGGAAAGAGAAAAGCAGCCUCCAGGGGACCUCAAGGAGCAGCCCUGAGCAUUUCUUCCUAGACACUGUCUAGCUAACUGGAUGGUCCUAUUUGGGAUUCUGCUGAAAUUAUCUCUGUGCAGAGGAAGAGUUAUCUCACCACCCACAGCAGCUCCCUCCUCUACCCAAAGGAAUAGAUUCCGGGAGAGAAUGUUUCCAGGACUACUUUGGGAAGUCCAGGGCCAGCGAUGGUCUUCUAGGUGCAGGAGCUUCUCCUUUCAGCCAUGACUAAUGAAUACAGUGUUGUUUAGAGACACAGUUAUCCAUCGUCUCUGAUCUCCUUGGCUGGAGUAAGUUCAGUAAUAAUUCUUAAUCAUUGGGAGUAAUUUUCAGAGUUCAUGAUUCUUUUCUCUCACUGCUCUUCUUUAGAUUCAAAUAGCGAGUCUUGGCUCCCUAUGUCAAAUUCUGUGCAACACACAUCUAUUUCCUCAGUGAAUUUUUGUGACGACCUCAUUCGUCUGUGUUACAAAUGGUGAGACUCAGGGGAAAUCAGAAGUAGAGGAAGACACACUCAAGCCCCCUGAUUCCGGUUCAACAGGGGCCCCUCUGGCUGUAGCUCUCUCCUCUGUACAUGUGCACACAGCACUGAACGACACCCUGUGGAGAGUAAUGUAGAAUGCAAGGGGCAGGUAGCACUCAGAGAAGAUCCCAGUCUCAUUGGGCCACUGGUUACAAAAGAACCCUAAGGUUGAAGGCAUUGAAUGUACAUGAUGUAGGUAUUAAACGUGGGUUCAGACAAGAAGGUGAGUCCGUCAGGUUUUGGCUUCUUCUCCUCAAAAGCAACUCUGAAAAGGCCACAGGAGUACAAACAGG